RNAcentral lists this ribosomal RNA (497 nucleotides) under uncultured bacterium. RNAcentral's name for it is "partial 16S ribosomal RNA". It matches the Rfam family "Bacterial small subunit ribosomal RNA", at positions 28 to 507 of the family's 1533-position model. The record is from RNAcentral.
GAUGAACGCUGGCGGCGUGCCUAAUACAUGCAAGUCGAGCGAACGGACGAGAAGCUUGCUUCUCUGAUGUUAGCGGCGGACGGGUGAGUAACACGUGGAUAACCUACCUAUAAGACUGGGAUAACUUCGGGAAACCGGAGCUAAUACCGGAUAAUAUUUUGAACCGCAUGGUUCAAAAGUGAAAGACGGUCUUGCUGUCACUUAUAGAUGGAUCCGCGCUGCAUUAGCUAGUUGGUAAGGUAACGGCUUACCAAGGCAACGAUGCAUAGCCGACCUGAGAGGGUGAUCGGCCACACUGGAAAUGAGACACGGUCCAGACUCCUAAGGGAGGCAGCAAUAGGGAAUCUUCCGCAAUGGGCGAAAACCUGACGGGGCAACGCCGCGUGAGUGAUGAAGGUUUUCGGAACGUAAAACUCUGUUAUUAGGGAAGAACAUAUGUGUAAGUAACUGUGCACAGCUUGACGGUACCUAAUCAGAAAAGCACGGCUAACUUAGUG